GGAUUUGCUCCACGCCGGCACGCCCCGCUCCUCUUCUUCCCUCCCCCUCCUCCACGUCCCCCGCAGGCCGUCCGCUGCAGCUACCGCUACCGCUACCGCUACAGCGCAAGCCACAACCGCGCCCACCGGGCACCGCCGGUGGGGCAGAUGGUCGGCGAAGAAGCCCGUCUCCCUUUGGAUUGACGGCUGUGGGACCCGUUCGCCAAGGAGAGGCCGAAGUUCC
RNAcentral lists this ribosomal RNA (223 nucleotides) under Triticum aestivum (bread wheat). RNAcentral's name for it is "partial small subunit ribosomal RNA". The record is from RNAcentral. Lineage: Eukaryota; Viridiplantae; Streptophyta; Magnoliopsida; Poales; Poaceae.